CGUUCUCUGCCGUGAACGACAGCGUGUGCAAACAUAUCGCCUUGUCCCUUAAAUACGACCACGGGAGCGUGACGGAACCGGGGGUGCAUGUCCGCCUUGGCAGCGGGAAGCCCGAUGGUUCAACAGCGUUCCCACUUGAACCUCGGGUUCAAGGUCGUUUCGCACGCAUCGCCACGGCGGAGGAUGC
RNAcentral lists this non-coding RNA (187 nucleotides) under Lysobacteraceae bacterium. RNAcentral describes it as "6S RNA". It matches the Rfam family "6S / SsrS RNA". Rfam says of the family: E. coli 6S RNA was the first non coding RNA to be sequenced, but its function was unknown until recently. It consists of 184 nucleotides that fold into an extended hairpin structure with a large single-stranded internal bulge. The 6S RNA specifically associates with RNA polymerase holoenzyme containing the sigma70 specificity factor. Lineage: Bacteria; Pseudomonadati; Pseudomonadota; Gammaproteobacteria; Lysobacterales; Lysobacteraceae. The record is from RNAcentral.